Equus asinus (donkey) is the source of this 79-nucleotide small nucleolar RNA. Its record names the gene SNORD116. It matches the Rfam family "Small nucleolar RNA SNORD116". Rfam says of the family: HBII-85 is a member of the C/D class of snoRNAs, which contain the C (UGAUGA) and D (CUGA) box motifs. HBII-85 is encoded in a tandemly repeated array with another C/D snoRNA, HBII-52, in the Prader-Willi syndrome (PWS) region of chromosome 15. Unlike most other snoRNAs, HBII-85 is expressed prevalently in the brain (but is absent in PWS patients) and lacks any significant complementarity with ribosomal RNA. The record is from Ensembl. NCBI's taxonomy places the organism in Eukaryota, Metazoa, Chordata, Mammalia, Perissodactyla, Equidae.
GAAUCUUAAAAAAUAAGCAAUAGGUCUGAACAAAAUGAGUGAGAACGCACUACCGUCGUUCUCAUCGAAACUGAGGUCC